Molecule: long non-coding RNA, 880 nt
Organism: Lycium barbarum (goji berry)
Lineage: Eukaryota; Viridiplantae; Streptophyta; Magnoliopsida; Solanales; Solanaceae
Exons: 2
Source: RefSeq, a predicted model, not a curated record
UCAUAAAUUUAGCAUAGCCCGACAUUUGCUCGAGGGCUUCUACCAAUGGAAUGUUGAUUGAGAGUUGUUUUAACUUUUCGAUGAACUUGAUGAAUUUUCCAUCAUCCGCUUUCUUUGCUAACCUUUGAGGAAACUACUAUAAAAAAGAUCUUUAGCGACUAUUAUUUAAUGGCAAUAAGCUAAUUGCCGUUAAUCUGUUUUAAAAAUUAAAGUAGUACCGACAAAUAUACAUUAGCCAAGAAAAAUAAAAACGUCUUUACCGACAACUUAAAAAAUAUACACCAAAAGAGUCCACUUUUAAUUUUAUAUCUUCCCUCCAAAAGCAAACCCUAUAUGUUUUCAUUUCCCUCUCUUUUCUAAUUACACUGGCCCCAAUAAAAAACAAUCCUCCCUCAAACUCUGAGUCUCAUUCUAUCAGACAAAUCUUUCCAUUCGAACACCCAUCAAUUAGAGAAAGCAAACAGAGUUUGGUCAUGAGAUUUUAAUCUCUCCCAUACCCUUCCAACGAUUUGUUUUCAAUAUUUUUUAUUGCUUCAUAAGUAUUAACUGGAAGAUUUCGUCCUUUCCUGAGAAUGUUUUGUCUUGUAGAUUAUAUUUAUCUCAUUAUCUGUUUACUGAAUGUCGAAAAUUCUUCCUACAAGUGAUUGGACUGAGACGGAGGAUGCAUGUUUACUAAGUGAUGAACUAAACAUUUGUUUUUCAUUUCUAUAUUUUGUUCCUUUCUUGGAUCAUGUUCGUCUACACAUUUGACAUAGAGGUGAAUAUAGUGAAAAGAGUUAGUAAUGCCAUAUAUGUACCUUAAGAAAUAAAAGGCUAUGUAUGCCAUAUAUAUACUUUGCUUUCUUGAUGAGAAAUAAAAUAUAUAUCGGGCCUUUUCUAA